This 570-nucleotide ribosomal RNA is filed under the name uncultured bacterium. RNAcentral describes it as "bacterial SSU rRNA". It matches the Rfam family "Bacterial small subunit ribosomal RNA", at positions 775 to 1319 of the family's 1533-position model. The record is from RNAcentral.
AGAAAAUAGAUACCCAGGUAGUCCACGCCCUAAACGAUCUCGACUAGCUUUGGGGGGAAUCGACCCCUUCCGAGGCGUAGCUAAACGCGUUAAAGUCGAGCGCCUGGGUAGUACGGCCGCAAGGCUAAAACUCAAAGGAAUAGACGGGGACUUGCACAAGCAGUGGAUUAUGCGGUUUAAUUCGUAGGUAAACGAAGAACCUUACCAAGGUUAGAAAUCCAAACGACAGGUAUAGAAAUAUACUCUCCCGCAAGGGCGGUUGGACAGGUGAUGCAUGGCCGUCGUCAGUUCGUGAUUUGAAAUUGUUCCCUUAAGUGGGGUAACGAACGCAACCCUCGUUGCCAGUUACAAGUGUCUGGUGAGACUGCCCCCGUUUGUGCGCAUGAACGAAAGUUCGUGAAUACAAACGGGGGUAGGAAGGCGAGGAUGACGCCAGGUCAGCAUGUCCCUCUGAUACCUCGGGCCACACGCAUAAUACAAUCGCAUCUACAACGGGUCGCGACAGGGUAACCCUGAGCUAAUCCUUAGAAAAGGUGCGCCAGUUCGGAUUGGGGGCUGCAACUCGACCCC